Molecule: ribosomal RNA, 504 nt
Filed under: uncultured bacterium
Lineage: Bacteria
Description: bacterial SSU rRNA
Rfam family: Bacterial small subunit ribosomal RNA
Source: RNAcentral
AGUAAAUAGAUACCCAGGUAGUCCACGCCGUAAACGAUGAAUACUAGGUGUAGGAGGUAUCGACUCCUUCUGUGCCGCAGUUAAACACAAUAAGUAUUCCGCCUGGGGAGUACGGUCGCAAGAUUAAAACUCAAAGGAAUUGACGGGGGGCCCGCACAAGCAGCGGAGCAUGUGGUUUAAUUCGAAGCAACGCGAAGAACCUUACCUAGACUUGACAUCUUCUGCAUUAAUCGUAAUGGAUGAAAUCCCUUCGGGGACAGAAUGACAGGUGGUGCAUGGUUGUCGUCAGCUCGUGUCGUGAGAUGUUGGGUUAAGUCCCGCAACGAGCGCAACCCCUAUUAUUAGUUGCUAACAUUAAGUUGAGCACUCUAGUGAGACUGCCCGGGUUAACCGGGAGGAAGGUGGGGAUGACGUCAAAUCAUCAUGCCCCUUAUGUCUAGGGCUACACACGUGCUACAAUGGUGGGAACAAAGAGAUGCAAUACCGCGAGGUGGAGCUAAACUC